RNAcentral lists this ribosomal RNA (207 nucleotides) under uncultured bacterium. RNAcentral's name for it is "partial 16S ribosomal RNA". It matches the Rfam family "Bacterial small subunit ribosomal RNA", at positions 568 to 774 of the family's 1533-position model. The record is from RNAcentral.
CGCGCAGGCGGUCGAUUUAGUCGCGUGUGAAAGCCCCCGGCUCAACUGGGGAGGGUCACGCGAUACUGAUCGACUCGAAGGCAGGAGAGGGUAGUGGAAUUCCCGGUGUAGUGGUGAAAUGCGUAGAUAUCGGGAGGAACACCAGUGGCGAAGGCGACUACCUGGCCUGUUCUUGACGCUGAGGCGCGAAAGCUAGGGAGGCAAACG